AGAGUUUGAUCAUGGCUCAGAGCGAACGCUGGCGGCGUGCUUAACACAUGCAAGUCGAGUGCGCGGUUGUAGCAAUACAACUGGCGCACGGCGCACGGGUGCGUAACACGUGGGUACCUGCCCUUUGAUGGGGAAUAACCCCGCGAAAGCGGGGCUAAUUCCGCAUAAGAUCCGCAAGGAUGAAAGCCGUAAGGCGUCGAAGGAGGGGCCUGCGCACGAUUAGCUAGUUGGUAGGGUAACGGCCUACCAAGGCUAUGAUCGUUAGCUGGUCUGAGAGGAUGGCCAGCCACACUGGAACUGAGACACGGUCCAGACUCCUACGGGAGGCAGCAGUGGGGAAUCUUGCACAAUGGGCGAAAGCCUGAUGCAGCGACGCCGCGUGGGGGAUGAAGCUUCUCGGAGUGUAAACCCCUUUCGACCCGGACGAAUACCUCGCAAGAGGGGUGACGGUACGGGUAUAAGAAGCCCCGGCUAACUACGUGCCAGCAGCCGCGGUAAGACGUGGGGGGCCAGCGUUGCUCGGAAUUACUGGGUGUAAAGGGUCAGUAGGCGGUGUGGCAAGUCGGUAGUGAAAUCUCUGGGCUUAACUCAGAGGCUGCUUCCGAAACUGCUGUGCUUGAGUGUGGGAGAGGCGCGUGGAAUUGCAGGUGUAGCGGUGAAAUGCGUAGAUAUCUGCAGGAACACCCGUGGCGAAAGCGGCGCGCUGGACCACAACUGACGCUGAAUGACGAAAGCUAGGGGAGCAAACAGGAUUAGAUACCCUGGUAGUCCUAGCCCUAAACGAUCAGGACUUGGGGUGCCACCCGUUCAGUGUCGUCCCGGAGCUAACGCGUUAGUCCUGCACCUGGGGAGUACGGUCGCAGACUGAACUCAAGGAAUUGACGGGGCCCGCACAGCGGUGGAACAUGUGGUC
RNAcentral lists this ribosomal RNA (913 nucleotides) under uncultured bacterium. RNAcentral describes it as "bacterial SSU rRNA". It matches the Rfam family "Bacterial small subunit ribosomal RNA", at positions 8 to 946 of the family's 1533-position model. The record is from RNAcentral.